UUUUUUUUUUUUUUUUUUUUUUUUUUUUUUUUUUUUUUUUUUUUU
This 45-nucleotide non-coding RNA is filed under the name Escherichia coli. RNAcentral also lists the same sequence under 5 other names. The record is from RNAcentral. Lineage: Bacteria; Pseudomonadati; Pseudomonadota; Gammaproteobacteria; Enterobacterales; Enterobacteriaceae.